CCUACGGGCGGCAGCAGUGAGGAAUAUUGGUCAAUGGACGAGAGUCUGAACCAGCCAAGUAGCGUGAAGGAUGACUGCCCUCUGGGUUGUAAACUUCUUUUAUAUGGGAAUAAAAUGUUCCACGUGUGGGUUUUUGUAUGUACCAUAUGACUAAGGAUCGGCUAACUCCGUGCCAGCAGCCGCGGUAAUACGGAGGAUCCGAGCGUUAUCCGGAUUUAUUGGGUUUAAAGGGAGCGUAGGUGGAUUGUUAAGUCAGUUGUGAAAGUUUGCGGCUCAACCGUAAAAUUGCAGUUGAAACUGGCAGUCUUGAGUACAGUAGAGGUGGGCGGAAUUCGUGGUGUAGCGGUGAAAUGCUUAGAUAUCACGAAGAACUCCGAUUGCGAAGGCAGCUCACUGGACUGCAACUGACACUGAGGCUCGAAAGUGUGGGUAUCAAACAGGAUUAGAUACCCCUGUAGUC
Molecule: ribosomal RNA, 460 nt
Filed under: uncultured bacterium
Lineage: Bacteria
Description: partial 16S ribosomal RNA
Rfam family: Bacterial small subunit ribosomal RNA
Source: RNAcentral